Chrysemys picta bellii (western painted turtle) is the source of this 508-nucleotide non-coding RNA. Lineage: Eukaryota; Metazoa; Chordata; Testudines; Emydidae. The record is from RefSeq and is a predicted model, not a curated record.
GAGGCCCUUGCGCAGGGGGGAGCCAGCGGCUCGGCGCUAGUAGCCACCAUCUUACACCACCACCACCACCCCAGUCUCCACCCCUUCGCCCGGGCGCGAGGUGGUGGCGCCCGCCGAGCCCACUUCCCCCACUGACAGGUAAAGAAGAAAGUAGCCAGUUCUUUCAUUUCAAGCUGCAUCAACUUUUUUUAAAAUUUAACCCUAGAAAACAGUGUCUAACUUUUGCUGACUUUAUAAACAAUUUUAUGUAACAGGCUAAAUUGGACUUUUGUUACCUUGGGCAACUUGGAAUACUUCUGCACUACAGUACCCUCAUCAAGAUUAACACUUGGGUUGAGUUUAGAAAAGCUUGGAUGGAACACUUCAAAUGGGAGCUGCCAAUAAACAUUUUAUGAAAAACAACAACAACAACAAGGUAACUUAUUUCACAAUGAUCAUUAGAUUUUCAAUCCUAUAUGUAACUGAAGAAUACUGGGACAAUUGCUGUCAUUAAAAAGGAUUCCUUUUA